RNAcentral lists this long non-coding RNA (405 nucleotides) under Chinchilla lanigera (long-tailed chinchilla). Its description in RNAcentral is "lncRNA (ENSCLAG00000023861.1)". Lineage: Eukaryota; Metazoa; Chordata; Mammalia; Rodentia; Chinchillidae. The record is from RNAcentral.
AAGUAACAUUGCAGGAGGGCAAUGAAGGGAGCACGUAAAGGAGAAAAUGGGACAAUGAGGCAGAAGGUCAUCAAUGAAGUGCUAUCAGUACUGGACCAGACUUCCACAGGCAUGGCAAGUACUGCACGGUGCUUCUCUACUGCAGCGGAAAGCAAAGAGAACUGGUGGACCAAACUGAGGAGUAAUUCGUUCUUCAGUUCAUAACCCCUGAGGGCCCACGGGAGGUAGCCAGACCUCCAGAAAACCUGCCCUGCAGGACUCCAGGAGCUGGGCUCAAGCAUACUCCAGGAGCUGGACAGAGGAUGACAUCAGGAAAUGUGCUGAAGAUUCCAAAGAGCAGUCAGCUGAGCAGUGAGGUGAGCAGUCCGCAGAGCAUUGAGGGAAGCAGUCAGGUCCACCAAAAAG